UACGUAGGGACCAAGCGUUGUCCGGAAUCAUUGGGCGUAAAGAGCGUGUAGGCGGCUUGUUAAGUCUUGCGUGAAAUCUCGGGGCUCAACCCCGAGCGGUCGUGAGAAACUGGCAGGCUAGAGUGCGGGAGAGGGGGGUGGAAUUCCCAGUGUAGCGGUGAAAUGCGUAGAUAUCAGGAAGAACACCUAUGGCGAAGGCAGCUCUCUGGGACGGUACUGACGCUGAGACGCGAAAGCGUGGGGAGCGAACAGG
Molecule: ribosomal RNA, 253 nt
Filed under: uncultured bacterium
Lineage: Bacteria
Description: partial 16S ribosomal RNA
Rfam family: Bacterial small subunit ribosomal RNA
Source: RNAcentral